GACGAACGCUGGCGGCGUGCUUAACACAUGCAAGUCGAACGGUAAGGCCCUUCGGGGUACACGAGUGGCGAACGGGUGAGUAACACGUGGGUGAUCUGCCCUGCACUUCGGGAUAAGCCUGGGAAACUGGGUCUAAUACCGGAUAGGACCCUGGGAUGCAUGUCCUGGGGUGGAAAGCUUUUGCGGUGUGGGAUGGGCCCGCGGCCUAUCAGCUUGUUGGUGGGGUGAUGGCCUACCAAGGCGAGGACGGGUAGCCGGCCUGAGGGGGUGACCGGCCACACUGGGACUGGGAUACGGCCCAGACUCCUACGGGAGGCAGCAGUGGGGAAUAUUGCACAAUGGGCGCAAGCCUGAUGCAGCGACGCCGCGUGAGGGAUGACGGCCUUCGGGUUGUAAACCUCUUUCAGCACCGACGAAGCGCAAGUGACGGUAGGUGCAGAAGAAGGACCGGCCAACUACGUGCCAGCCGCCGCGGUAA
RNAcentral lists this ribosomal RNA (478 nucleotides) under uncultured bacterium. Its description in RNAcentral is "partial 16S ribosomal RNA". It matches the Rfam family "Bacterial small subunit ribosomal RNA", at positions 28 to 523 of the family's 1533-position model. The record is from RNAcentral.